GAUCAUGGUAUUCAGAAGACAUUGCAACCCAAACACUUGGAACCAGAACUAAGCAUAAACUAUGCCAUCAUCACCAGUCUGAUGACAACGUUCCAUACCCCCUCACUCUUAGCGUCUCAUACUUGACUUUCUGCCAAGGUUGCAGAGUUGUAGAGUGGUGAGCUUUCAAAAUAUUAACUAUAAUAAACUCGAAUAACAUUAGGCAUGACUCAUUUACCAGAAGAAGCAGAAUUCAAUCAUUAUUAAUUAGUAUACUUCUAAUUAUCAACUUAUAAUAGAUGUUAUCCAAAGGCUAAUCUCAUAUAUUGAGUUGAAAUGUUAACCAAGAAUGCUGAUAAUAUAAAGGAUUUACUCACUUGUAAUCUUCAGCCAGAUUCCUGAGCUCAUAAAGCUGAAUUGAAAAUCCUCUCUCUUUUUCAAGCCUAGUGUUGAAGAUGCCAUGAUGACUUUGAACGAAAAAUUCAGCUUAGAGGCCUCCAACAGCACUUUACUUUUGCAAGCUUCCAGAAGAGAUAAAGAGCUACAAAAAUG
This 531-nucleotide long non-coding RNA is filed under the name Equus caballus (horse). RNAcentral describes it as "lncRNA (ENSECAG00000048075.1)". Lineage: Eukaryota; Metazoa; Chordata; Mammalia; Perissodactyla; Equidae. The record is from RNAcentral.